Molecule: ribosomal RNA, 1025 nt
Filed under: Leuconostoc mesenteroides
Lineage: Bacteria; Bacillati; Bacillota; Bacilli; Lactobacillales; Lactobacillaceae
Also listed under: 1 other name
Description: partial 16S ribosomal RNA
Rfam family: Bacterial small subunit ribosomal RNA
Source: RNAcentral
GUGAGUGGCGAACGGUUGAGUAACACGUGGACAACCUGCCUCAAGGCUGGGGAUAACAUUUGGAAACAGAUGCUAAUACCGAAUAAAACUUAAUGUCGCAUGACAAAAAGUUAAAAGGCGCUUCGGCGUCACCUAGAGAUGGAUCCGCGGUGCAUUAGUUAGUUGGUGGGGUAAAGGCCUACCAAGACAAUGAUGCAUAGCCGAGUUGAGAGACUGAUCGGCCACAUUGGGACUGAGACACGGCCCAAACUCCUACGGGAGGCUGCAGUAGGGAAUCUUCCACAAUGGGCGAAAGCCUGAUGGAGCAACGCCGCGUGUGUGAUGAAGGCUUUCGGGUCGUAAAGCACUGUUGUAUGGGAAGAACAGCUAGAAUAGGAAAUGAUUUUAGUUUGACGGUACCAUACCAGAAAGGGACGGCUAAAUACGUGCCAGCAGCCGCGGUAAUACGUAUGUCCCGAGCGUUAUCCGGAUUUAUUGGGCGUAAAGCGAGCGCAGACGGUUUAUUAAGUCUGAUGUGAAAGCCCGGAGCUCAACUCCGGAAUGGCAUUGGAAACUGGUUAACUUGAGUGCAGUAGAGGUAAGUGGAACUCCAUGUGUAGCGGUGGAAUGCGUAGAUAUAUGGAAGAACACCAGUGGCGAAGGCGGCUUACUGGACUGCAACUGACGUUGAGGCUCGAAAGUGUGGGUAGCAAACAGGAUUAGAUACCCUGGUAGUCCACACCGUAAACGAUGAACACUAGGUGUUAGGAGGUUUCCGCCUCUUAGUGCCGAAGCUAACGCAUUAAGUGUUCCGCCUGGGGAGUACGACCGCAAGGUUGAAACUCAAAGGAAUUGACGGGGACCCGCACAAGCGGUGGAGCAUGUGGUUUAAUUCGAAGCAACGCGAAGAACCUUACCAGGUCUUGACAUCCUUUGAAGCUUUUAGAGAUAGAAGUGUUCUCUUCGGAGACAAAGUGACAGGUGGUGCAUGGUCGUCGUCAGCUCGUGUCGUGAGAUGUUGGGUUAAGUCCCGCAACGAGCGGCAC